This 258-nucleotide ribosomal RNA is filed under the name uncultured Glomus. Its description in RNAcentral is "partial 18S ribosomal RNA". It matches the Rfam family "Eukaryotic small subunit ribosomal RNA", at positions 624 to 886 of the family's 1831-position model. Lineage: Eukaryota; Fungi; Glomeromycota; Glomeromycetes; Glomerales; Glomeraceae. The record is from RNAcentral.
AAGCUCGUAGUUGAAUUUCGGGGUUAGUAGGUUGGUCAUGCCUCUGGUAUGUACUGGUCUCACUGAUCCCUCCUUCCUGAUGAACCGUAAUGCCAUUAAUUUGGUGUUGCGGGAAAUUUGGACUGUUACUUUGAAAAAAUUAGAGUGUUUAAAGCAAGCUAACGCUUGAAUACAUUAGCAUGGAAUAAUGAAAUAGGACGUUCGAUCCUAUUUUGUUGGUUUCUAGGAUUGACGUAAUGAUUAAUAGGGAUUGUUGGG